RNAcentral lists this ribosomal RNA (18 nucleotides) under Candidatus Liberibacter asiaticus. RNAcentral describes it as "partial 16S ribosomal RNA". The record is from RNAcentral. Lineage: Bacteria; Pseudomonadati; Pseudomonadota; Alphaproteobacteria; Hyphomicrobiales; Rhizobiaceae.
CCUUUCUAAGGAAGAUGU